GUGUUUUCUGGGAAUCGACCAGAGCCAAAGGAGGGCUAAGAGAAAACCCUAACUUCACAAAUUCUCAAAAUCAGAAGGAAAUUAAGAGUUCUAAUGGAUGCAUGCACCCUAAAUCGAGUGUUAAGGAAGAGAGUUCAAGUCAAGCGAAGCAAUAAGGGAAUCAAGACCGAGGUAAAUCUCAAGUUUAGCUUUCAAGCUUCGCCCGAUUCGAACACACUUCAAGGCCCGCCUCAUGUUCCGCUAAUUAUGUAAAGAAGACGACGCUUAAUAUUUUGGUCACUUGUCUAAAUCUAGUAGUCAAAUACUUAGUUCUUGUUAUGUAUUUUGAACUAUAAGAAUUUCGUAUGCAUGUCGUAGUUGUUUGAUGGUAUAUAAUAUGUCCUUUUCAAAA
This is a long non-coding RNA of Helianthus annuus (common sunflower), 391 nucleotides long. RefSeq lists it as uncharacterized. The transcript is spliced from 3 exons. Lineage: Eukaryota; Viridiplantae; Streptophyta; Magnoliopsida; Asterales; Asteraceae. The record is from RefSeq and is a predicted model, not a curated record.